RNAcentral lists this ribosomal RNA (715 nucleotides) under Bacillus aerius. RNAcentral's name for it is "bacterial SSU rRNA". It matches the Rfam family "Bacterial small subunit ribosomal RNA", at positions 74 to 774 of the family's 1533-position model. Lineage: Bacteria; Bacillati; Bacillota; Bacilli; Caryophanales; Bacillaceae. The record is from RNAcentral.
GGGAGCUUGCUCCCGGAUGUUAGCGGCGGACGGGUGAGUAACACGUGGGUAACCUGCCUGUAAGACUGGGAUAACUCCGGGAAACCGGAGCUAAUACCGGAUAGUUCCUUGAACCGCAUGGUUCAAGGAUGAAAGACGGUUUCGGCUGUCACUUACAGAUGGACCCGCGGCGCAUUAGCUAGUUGGUGAGGUAACGGCUCACCAAGGCGACGAUGCGUAACCGACCUGAGAGGGUGAUCGGCCACACUGGGACUGAGACACGGCCCACACUCCUACGGGAGGCAGCAGUAGGGAAUCUUCCGCAAUGGACGAAAGUCUGACGGACCAACGCCGCGUGAGUGAUGAAGGUUUUCGGAUCGUAAAGCUCUGUUGUUAGGGAAGAACAAGUGCAAGAGUAACUGCUUGCACCUUGACGGUACCUAACCAGAAAGCCACGGCUAACUACGUGCCAGCAGCCGCGGUAAUACGUAGGUGGCAAGCGUUGUCCGGAAUUAUUGGGCGUAAAGGGCUCGCAGGCGGUUUCUUAAGUCUGAUGUGAAAGCCCCCGGCUCAACCGGGGAGGGUCAUUGGAAACUGGGAAACUUGAGUGCAAAAAAGGAGAGUGGAAUUCCACGUGUAGCGGUGAAAUGCGUAUAGAUGUGGAGGAACACCAGUGGCGAAGGCGACUCUCUGGUCUGUAACUGACGCUGAGGAGCGAAAGCGUGGGGAGCGAACA